This 556-nucleotide ribosomal RNA is filed under the name Aureobasidium proteae. Its description in RNAcentral is "partial 26S ribosomal RNA". The record is from RNAcentral. Lineage: Eukaryota; Fungi; Ascomycota; Dothideomycetes; Dothideales; Saccotheciaceae.
UCGCUUACAACCAUUACGCCAGCAUCCUAGCCGAAGCGCGGACCUCAGUCCCGGCUGGCCGUAUUACACCCUGGGCUAUAACACCUCCACCGAAGUGGAGGCCACAUUCCCAGAGCCUUUAUCCGGCCGCCGAAACUGAUGCUGGCCUGUCCAAACUGAGUAAACCGGUCAGAAGACCGGCCGAACAGUUUAAACAAGUCUGAUUGCAAGCGCUUCCCUUUCAACAAUUUCACGUGCUUUUUAACUCUCUUUCCAAAGUGCUUUUCAUCUUUCGAUCACUCUACUUGUGCGCUAUCGGUCUCUCGCCAAUAUUUAGCUUUAGAAGAAAUUUACCUCCCAUUUAGAGCUGCAUUCCCAAACAACUCGACUCGUCGAAGGAGAUUUACAUAGGGUGCCAUUUCCUGUCACAUACGGGAUUCUCACCCUCUAUGACGUCCUGUUCCAAGGAACUUAGACAGGCGGCUUCCCCAAAUCAUCCUCUACAAAUUACAAUGCGAACCCGAAGGCUAGCUUUCAAAUUUGAGCUGUUGCCGCUUCACUCGCCGUUACUAGGGCA